RNAcentral lists this long non-coding RNA (445 nucleotides) under Salmo salar (Atlantic salmon). RNAcentral describes it as "lncRNA (ENSSSAG00000082194.1, ENSSSAG00075063550.1)". The record is from RNAcentral. Lineage: Eukaryota; Metazoa; Chordata; Actinopteri; Salmoniformes; Salmonidae.
GAACAAAGUAAAGAUUGCGCCAGAAGGGGUCUGUUUUUUCAACUUUUCUCAAAUACUAUUUGUCCAUUGUCUUGUCAAUCAAAGUUUGACACUAACAGAUUAGUUGUAGGCCCAUUCGUUUUCAUUGCAGCCCUGUUUGAACACAUAGUUACGCUAAUGCCGUAUUCACGAUACUCAGUGAGUCAACUCGCAUCCAGCUCCAGUAGCUGCAUAGAAAGAACCUGCCUCUCCUACACAAGUGAAUCAACGAGGAUGAACAAGCAGCACUUUAGAUGGUAGCGGGUUGAACAGGCUGUGGUUGGGGUGGCUGAGCUUCCUUGAUGAUCUUCUGGGCCUUCCUUUGACACUGGGUGCUAUAUAUGUCCUGGAGGGCAUUCUGGUGACCUAUUGAAAAUAGUUCAACAAUGAUAUAGCAAAUUAAGAUGUGUGAUUAAGAUGUGUGACC